This 408-nucleotide ribosomal RNA is filed under the name Fusobacteriota bacterium. RNAcentral's name for it is "Fusobacteria bacterium partial 16S ribosomal RNA". It matches the Rfam family "Bacterial small subunit ribosomal RNA", at positions 355 to 776 of the family's 1533-position model. Lineage: Bacteria; Fusobacteriati; Fusobacteriota. The record is from RNAcentral.
UGGGGAAUAUUGCACAAUGGACGGAAGUCUGAUGCAGCAACGCCGCGUGCGGGAUGACGGCCUUCGGGUUGUAAACCGCUUUUUCUCAUGACGAAGUUUUUUGACGGUAGUGGGGGAAGAAGCACCGGCUAACUACGUGCCAGCAGCCGCGGUGAUAAGUAGGGUGCGAGCGUUGUCCGGAAUUAUUGGGCGUAAAGAGCUUGUAGGCGGUUUGUCGCGUCGAUAGUGCAAACUCAGUGCUUAACGCUGAGCCUGCUGUUGAUACGGGCAGACUAGAGGAAGGUAGGGGAGAAUGGAAUUCCCGGUGGAGCGGUGGAAUGCGCAGAUAUCGGGAGGAACACCGGUGGCGAAGGCGGUUCUCUGGGCCUUUCCUGACGCUGAGAAGCGAAAGCGUGGGGAGCGAACAGG